RNAcentral lists this ribosomal RNA (444 nucleotides) under uncultured organism. Its description in RNAcentral is "bacterial SSU rRNA". It matches the Rfam family "Bacterial small subunit ribosomal RNA", at positions 346 to 781 of the family's 1533-position model. The record is from RNAcentral.
GCGCAGCAGGCGAGAAUUUUUCUCAAUGGGGGCAACCCUGAAGGAGCGACGCCGCGUGGAGGAUGAAGGCUUUCGGGUCGUAAACUCCUGUCAUUUGAGAACAAGUGCCAACACCUAACUACUGUUGGCUUGAUAGUAUCAGAAGAGGAAGGGACGGCUAACUCUGUGCCAGCAGCCGCGGUAAUACAGAGGUCCCAAGCGUUGUUCGGAUUCAUUGGGCGUAAAGGGUGCGUAGGUGGCGCCGUAAGUGGGGUGUGAAAUUCCGGAGCUUAACUCCGAAACUGCAUUCCAUACUGCGGUGCUUGAGGACUGGAGAGGAGACUGGAAUUUACGGUGUAGCAGUGAAAUGCGUAGAGAUCGUAAGGAAGACCAGUGGCGAAGGCGGGUCUACGUGGACAGUUCCUGACACUGAGGCACGAAGGCCAGGGGAGCGAACGGGAUUAG